Molecule: ribosomal RNA, 342 nt
Filed under: Triticum aestivum (bread wheat)
Lineage: Eukaryota; Viridiplantae; Streptophyta; Magnoliopsida; Poales; Poaceae
Description: partial small subunit ribosomal RNA
Source: RNAcentral
AUGAGCAAUCAAACAGAGAAAAGCGUAAUGACCAAUAUGCAGUCGGGAGCAGCGGCAUACCGGAGGCGGCCGCCCCUGACAUCAAUCACAUCUCUCUCUGGCCUAGGGCGAGACCGGAAGGGGUCAGGGGUAGAACGUACCUUCUCAAGGGCGGAGGAGCGGCGCUGGCCAGGCUUGGAGGGCGUCGUCCGGGUGCACGCGGCGGGGAAGGCGGUGGUGGAACGACGGCUUGCCGUGGCAGCCUUGGAACCGCAGCCUCCAACAUGUGCCACAUACCAUCAAACCACAAGGACGGGGCUUGCCUGCUCCGUGAAAAUACUCCCAUCCGUGCUCCCCCGGUAA